UGGGUCGUUAGCUCAGUCGGUAGAGCAGUUGGCUUUUAACCAAUUGGUCGCUGGUUCGAAUCCAGCACGACCCACCAU
This 78-nucleotide transfer RNA is filed under the name Cellvibrio japonicus Ueda107. RNAcentral describes it as "tRNA-Lys". It matches the Rfam family "tRNA". Rfam says of the family: Transfer RNA (tRNA) molecules are approximately 80 nucleotides in length. Lineage: Bacteria; Pseudomonadati; Pseudomonadota; Gammaproteobacteria; Cellvibrionales; Cellvibrionaceae. The record is from RNAcentral.